This 497-nucleotide ribosomal RNA is filed under the name uncultured bacterium. Its description in RNAcentral is "partial 16S ribosomal RNA". It matches the Rfam family "Bacterial small subunit ribosomal RNA", at positions 28 to 507 of the family's 1533-position model. The record is from RNAcentral.
GAUGAACGCUGGCGGCGUGCCUAAUACAUGCAAGUCGAGCGAACGGACGAGAAGCUUUCUUUUCUGAUGUUAGCGGCGGACGGGUGAGUAACACGUGGAUAACCUACCUAUAAGACUGGGAUAACUUCGGGAAACCGGAGCUAAUACCGGAUAAUAUUUUGAACCGCAUGGUUCAAAAGUGAAAGACGGUCUUGCUGUCACUUAUAGAUGGAUCCGCGCUGCAUUAGCUAGUUGGUAAGGUAACGGCUUACCAAGGCAACGAUGCAUAGCCGACCUGAGAGGGUGAUCGGCCACACUGGAACUGAGACACGGUCCAGACUCCUACGGGAGGCAGCAGUAGGGAAUCUUCCGCAAUGGGCGAAAGCCUGACGGAGCAACGCCGCGUGAGUGAUGAAGGCCUUCGGAUCGUAAAACUCUGUUAUUAGGGAAGAACAUAUGUGUAAGUAACUGUGCACAUCUUGACGGUACCUAAUCAGAAAGCCAGGGCUAACUACGUG